Molecule: RNA transcript, 3860 nt
Organism: Phyllopteryx taeniolatus (common seadragon)
Lineage: Eukaryota; Metazoa; Chordata; Actinopteri; Syngnathiformes; Syngnathidae
Gene name: V-set and immunoglobulin domain-containing protein 10-like 2
Exons: 4
Source: RefSeq, a predicted model, not a curated record
AGCGCGGCUCGUCUCGCUGGAAGUUUGGGCUGAAAUCCGGAGACGCGUCGCCUCGCCGCGGUUCACGACUCCCGAGCAGGACGAGUCGCUAUCGAGGAGCUGACAAUCAUGAGAGUGUCCACACGGGCAUCCCCUCCUCCUUCCUCCAUCCUACGCGUCCCACAGUGUGCUGCCGAAAGGCUGGCGUGCAGAUGUUGCCGCAAGAACUCUUGUAAAAAUGUGGAAAUUAGACUUCAAAUCGAAUCACCAAGACAAGACUUCUACUGGUUCCAGAUGCCGGCACCACUCAUGAGAAUUUAUGAGUUCAAGUUAGAUUUCUGGCAGACAAAAAAAAAAAAAAAAAAAGAAAAUGUUUAAUGUCUUGAAUGUCUAAAAGAAGCUGGAAGCGAGACAAGAAGAAGCUGACACAAGCAGAGGUAGACUACAUACCUAGAAACUUUACUGUCUGAACUGUUUGUAUUAUUCCAAAAGCAGCAAACAACAAAAAAUGUUUGUCGUUUAUCAUAAAACUUCACAACUGAAAUAAAAUAUUAUGUCUUCAGCAGAUGUCGCAACAUAAAUCAAAAUAAUUCACAUGAUUUCUUCGCGUCGCACGCUCGCUUGUUGCUAGGCAGAAAUUGUAGGGCUUUCAGCUUCACUGCUCAAGUUUGGCUGCUUCAAUGACAAACUGGUGCAAAGACAAAGUCGGAUACAUUAUUUGGCCAACUACAUCGCUGUUCCUUAUUAAAUAUUGAAUCCAAAAACUGUAUGUGGUGAAGGCAUUUUCCCAAAUAGUCGCUAACUAACUUACUCGGUGUCAUAUCAUUUAAAGAAGUGCAUAUCUACGUAUGGGGACCAACGCACACGGCGUGUAUGUUGAAUUGGUGUUAGGAUUACGAGGGCACUCUUGGGAAAUAUUUCUCCACUGUAAAGUUUGUGAAACCCUGAUUUACAUCACUGCCGGCGCCAAAACGGGCACACUUGACCUUGCCCCGUGCCUUUUACCAUACAGGUGGUUGCCUGCCUGGUGCAGUAAUGUGUUGCGCAGAUACAGUCAGAUUCAGCUAUGAGUGUCUUCUCUUUCAUCUGCUGCCAAAAACAAAAGCGUCCGCUUUGAGCCAGACGGAUGCACUCGGUGGGGAGCGCCUGAAAGCUUUUACGGGGGCCCCGGCAAGCUUGUUGCUACCCCAUCCCCUGCCGAGACCCCCCGAGUGAGUCACUGAGUCGGUCAACGAAGAGUUAGCGUGUUAUUCAGGAUUUGGGACUUUGUGAGUGAGCUAGUGUGUUGGAGAGUGCGCAUGUGUGCGAGCCAAUUCGAGAUUUGUCAUUAGAGAAUUAGAGAGGUAUUUAGUUAGCGAGUGAGUGAGAGAGGAGUAAGUUGGCGAGUAACUUCAUGUUAGAAGUUAGAGAGUGUACGUGCAGGCAAAAUAGUUUUGGAAUUAGUAAGUUAGUGAGUGAAUCAGUAUUAGUUAGUUCGAAUGAGUGACUUGAGUGAACACUCUUGUUAGCACGUUAGGGUGUAAGUUGAAAUGUGUGACUUGAGGGAGUUAGUUGGUUAGUGAGUGAGAAAGUACCUUAGCGCGUUUGUUAGGAUUUGUAGCAUGGCGAGUGAGUGAGUUGAUGAGUGAGUUAGUUAGUUAGUGAUAGGGUUAGAUUUUGUGAGUGAGUUAAUUGGUACGUCAAAAGUGCGUUGAUUUCUGAGUUAGUGUAUCAGAGAGUUAGUUGGUCAUAUAGUUAUGGAGUGAGUUAGUCUGUUGAGCUAGUGAGUUACUCAUUGAUUUGUUUGUGUGCUAUAGUCCGUUAGUCAAGGCAAAAAAUGCUCAAUUGAAUCAGCAGAAAUAAAUCCUUUUGUCUGAAAAACAAAUAUGGGAAUAUUUUAUGAAGAUAAAUGGUGACAUUUCAUCAGCGAGUAGCGAAGCCCAUUAAAUAACAGAUAAAUAAGCCUUCAUUCCAAACUCUUAUUGGCUAUAAAUAAGAGAUACGACUAUUGAUUGAAUGAAUUGCAAACGAUCUCGAGACGUGUGUAACUGUUCCUGCGUCAGAAGCGUCAAAGCCAAAACUGCUCGAAUGCCAAAGAAAAACGUUUGCAAAUGCCUGCUGUUGGUUUGUGUUGACUUUAUGCAAACGAGCCCGAAAUUAGUUCACAUCUGGACCUCAUUUCAACGAGUGACAUAGAAUAACGAUCAAUGAGCCGGUGUUAACUGAUGAUGAAUUUGCAAAACAACACAUUUGUUGUUUGUUCUCUACGGCUGAUGUCUUCAUUAGGCAAAUUCGACGCAGCAGUCCUGAUGCGUACCAAUAAAACAACAUUUUUCCUUCCUUUUUGGGCAACAUCGUACAGAACAGAUGAAACUGAUUUAACAAGCGAAUGUGGCCUGAAACUUAAGACUCAAUCACAUCGCGUAUUGUCUUGAAUCUUGGGUUCAACCAGUGCAAUUCAUGGAAUAUCAAUGCCAGUUUUGGAUCCAUUGUUGACAUCCUACUACCUGUCGUUUCCUGCUUCCCCACCAACCUGCUGUUUGCAGCUGGGAAGCUUCUGCGCCACUUCAGGGACCACACAUCAUGAUUAGUACUUUUAUUAGUCAUUGUGCCUUUCGGGGUACAAAGCUUUUCAUAGGGGUGGUAUCCUUCAUUGUUUCUGCUUUCCCACCUUUGGCACUCAACGUGAGCGUCUCUGGGACGCUGGUUCACUGAUUUGGAAAGAUUUUUGUUCUUUCCCACAGGAAGUAAUGGAAAUCGAAAUCAUCUGUUACGGGCCAUCUUAAAAGUUUGAUUAACUGUUCAGGUAGGAGUUUAAGUCACACUUUAACGUUCUUAAUUUUCACACAAGUGUCGAUGAGACUCAGGGUUCUAUUUCCGUAGCCCGCGCACUCGCGACGGAACGCAAAUUCCGGCGUAUGCUGAUUUUCGUGCAAGGGCAAGGCUCGCUGUCUGCACCAAGAGGCAAUGCAUUAUGGGAAAAUAGUCUUUCCCACUCUGACGAUAAUAAAACAUGCAAGAGUUGAUUUGAAUAAAACAUGAGCCAUCCUGACAUUUGACACCCUCGUGACCGACCUGCAAGCACUGCUAAAUAUUUGAUCGCGGAGCUCAACAAAAUCAGCAGCAAAGAGAAAUUGUGACCACGCCGUGACAGCAUGUUCCGGAUGUUUCCUCUCGUCUUCCUGCCGACCUCCUGGAUUCUGCUUCUUCCUCUCCGAGGUGAGCACUCGACUGACUUCACAAAGGUCUGGCAUACCUUUUGGUCUAAAUGAGAAACCUCCUCCAAAGUGAUCAAAUUUGCAUGCAUCCAACGGGCCCGAGGCAGACGAACUGUCACAUUCCGGGCAAACUGUGAGGUCUCUUCGCCAAGAUACUUAUUAACAUCUGACUCAACUCAUUUUCUCUGAAAUUGCAUGUGAACGAGAGUGAGAAAAUAUAUCCCAGCGUGUCAGCAAUACCCAGAAACAACAAGAGAGCCCUGCCACCAAGAGCAAAAUAAUCUUUGGAUCUGUUCGACGCAGAGGAAGUGGAGUACCUGAGCUUCAACGUGAGCGCGACCACGGGGGGCUCGGUCCGCUUGGACUGCGGCGCCGACCCGCCGUCCGUCUUCAUCUGGGGCUUCACCAGAGCCGGUUCGGACAGCAGCGUGGCUCUGGCCUACGACUACGGCCGCGGUCCCAAGCUGCAGGCUCUACCGGGUGGCGCGGGCCGCAUACGCGUGCCCGCCAACACCUCCGCCCUGGUGGUCGAUGAAGUGCGGCGGGAGGUGGAGGGCACGUACACCUGCCAGGCCUUGUACCACGCGGGCCGCGCAGACAGGGUGACCUUCUACUACACCCGGCUAGACGUGGAGGACGACUGAUAGCGACAUCACGCUGAUGCAAUAAACUCAUUAAAGUGUC